This 307-nucleotide unclassified non-coding RNA is filed under the name uncultured fungus. RNAcentral describes it as "partial contains small subunit ribosomal RNA, internal transcribed spacer 1, and 5.8S ribosomal RNA". The stretch from base 1 to 73 matches the Rfam family "Eukaryotic small subunit ribosomal RNA", at positions 1759 to 1831 of the family's 1831-position model. Lineage: Eukaryota; Fungi. The record is from RNAcentral.
GCAAACUUGGUCAUUUAGAGGAAGUAAAAGUCGUAACAAGGUUUCCGUAGGUGAACCUGCGGAAGGAUCAUUCAUAAUAGAGUGUUUUAUGGCACUCUAAAAAAAAAUCCAUAUCCACCUUGUGUGAAAUGUUAAUCCUUGUCAAUCGAACUUCUUAAUGAAGGGAGGUAGAUGAGGUAUUUUAUAUAUCAACUCUUUUCAUUAUUAUUAUUAUUUAUUUGUCUGUAAAACGUUAUGAAUUUACUUAAUUCAAAACACAACUUUCAACAACGGAUCUCUUGGCUCUCGCAUCGAUGAAGAACGCAGC